Molecule: ribosomal RNA, 429 nt
Filed under: Actinomycetes bacterium
Lineage: Bacteria; Bacillati; Actinomycetota; Actinomycetes
Description: Actinobacteria bacterium partial 16S ribosomal RNA
Rfam family: Bacterial small subunit ribosomal RNA
Source: RNAcentral
UAGGGAAUCUUCCGUAAUGGGCGAAAGCUUGACGGAGCAACGCCGCGUGAGUGAUGAAGGUCUUCGGAUCGUAAAACUCUGUUAUUAGGGAAGAACAAAUGUGUAAGUAACUAUGCACGUCUUGACGGUACCUAAUCAGAAAGCCACGGCUAACUACGUGCCAGCAGCCGCGGUAAUACGUAGGUGGCAAGCGUUAUCCGGAAUUAUUGGGCGUAAAGCGCGCGUAGGCGGUUUUUUAAGUCUGAUGUGAAAGCCCACGGCUCAACCGUGGGGGGUCAUUGGAAACUGGAAAACUUGAGUGCAGAAGAGGAAAGUGGAAUUCCAUGUGUAGCGGUGAAAUGCGCAGAGAUAUGGAGGAACACCAGUGGCGAAGGCGACUUUCUGGUCUGUAACUGACGCUGAUGUGCGAAAGCGUGGGGAUCAAACAGG